GACGAACGCUGGCGGCGUGCUUAACACAUGCAAGUCGAACGGAAAGGCCCUGCUUUUGUGGGGUGCUCGAGUGGCGAACGGGUGAGUAACACGUGAGUAACCUGCCCUUGACUUUGGGAUAACUUCAGGAAACUGGGGCUAAUACCGGAUAGGAGCUCCUGCUGCAUGGUGGGGGUUGGAAAGUUUCGGCGGUUGGGGAUGGACUCGCGGCUUAUCAGCUUGUUGGUGGGGUAGUGGCUUACCAAGGCUUUGACGGGUAGCCGGCCUGAGAGGGUGACCGGCCACAUUGGGACUGAGAUACGGCCCAGACUCCUACGGGAGGCAGCAGUGGGGAAUAUUGCACAAUGGGCGGAAGCCUGAUGCAGCAACGCCGCGUGCGGGAUGACGGCCUUCGGGUUGUAAACCGCUUUCGCCUGUGACGAAGCGUGAGUGACGGUAAUGGGUAAAGAAGCACCGGCUAACUACGUGCCAGCAGCCGCGGUGAUACGUAGGGUGCGAGCGUUGUCCGGAUUUAUUGGGCGUAAAGGGCUCGUAGGUGGUUGAUCGCGUCGGAAGUGUAAUCUUGGGGCUUAACCCUGAGCGUGCUUUCGAUACGGGUCGACUUGAGGAAGGUAGGGGAGAAUGGAAUUCCUGGUGGAGCGGUGGAAUGCGCAGAUAUCAGGAGGAACACCAGUGGCGAAGGCGGUUCUCUGGGCCUUUCCUGACGCUGAGGAGCGAAAGCGUGGGGAGCGAACAGGCUUAGAUACCCUGGUAGUCCACGCUGUAAACGGUGGGUACUAGGUGUGGGGUCCAUUCCACGGGUUCCGUGCCGUAGCUAACGCUUUAAGUACCCCGCCUGGGGAGUACGGCCGCAAGGCUAAAACUCAAAGGAAUUGACGGGGCCCCGCACAAGCGGCGGAGCAUGCGGAUUAAUUCGAUGCAACGCGUAGAACCUUACCUGGGUUUGACAUGGAUCGGGAGUGCUCAGAGAUGGGUGUGCCUCUUUUGGGGUCGGUUCACAGGUGGUGCAUGGCUGUCGUCAGCUCGUGUCGUGAGAUGUUGGGUUAAGUCCCGCAACGAGCGCAACCCUUGUUCACUGUUGCCAGCACGUUAUGGUGGGGACUCAGUGGAGACCGCCGGGGUCAACUCGGAGGAGGGUGGGGAUGACGUCAAGUCAUCAUGCCCCUUAUGUCCAGGGCUUCACGCAUGCUACAAUGGCUGGUACAGAGAGUGGCGAGCCUGUGAGGGUGAGCGAAUCUCGGAAAGCCGGUCUCAGUUCGGAUUGGGGUCUGCAACUCGACCUCAUGAAGUCGGAGUCGCUAGUAAUCGCAGAUCAGCAACGCUGCGGUGAAUACGUUCCCGGG
Molecule: ribosomal RNA, 1343 nt
Filed under: uncultured bacterium
Lineage: Bacteria
Description: 16S ribosomal RNA
Rfam family: Bacterial small subunit ribosomal RNA
Source: RNAcentral